AUGCAGUAUGAGUGUUCAGCACAUUUGUCUAUAAUAAGUGAUCUUGAGGCCAAUGUCAAGAAUCUGGAGAAUGAACUCCAGGAACAAUCUCAAAGAUUAGAGGCUGAUAUAGCAGAAGUACUGGCUGCCAAGGUUGAGCAAGAGCAGGGGUCCAUAAAGGCCGAGAAGUCUCCGAGGAAAGCACGGUGGAACAACGGUACCACUGCCGAGCGACUUCAGGAGGAAUUCAAGAGUCUAUCUUCACAAGUAUCUUCUGCUUUCAGUGCCAAGAAACGGCUGCUUGUGCAAGCAAGAAAAGAGGUCGCAGAACUACAGUUGCAGAAGAGCCAGUUGGAAGAGUUACUGCAGAAGGCCCACGAAGAUGUCGCAUCAGUCCAAGAACAACACCGGGUGAAGAUUCAGCAGUUACUUACCCCUUAG
RNAcentral lists this ribosomal RNA (420 nucleotides) under Triticum aestivum (bread wheat). Its description in RNAcentral is "partial small subunit ribosomal RNA". The record is from RNAcentral. Lineage: Eukaryota; Viridiplantae; Streptophyta; Magnoliopsida; Poales; Poaceae.